UUUGACCUCAGAUCAGGUA
Molecule: ribosomal RNA, 19 nt
Filed under: basidiomycete mycorrhizal isolate EL100
Lineage: Eukaryota; Fungi; Basidiomycota
Description: partial 28S ribosomal RNA
Source: RNAcentral